CGCGGUGUGAAAAAGGAGCGAAAUCACAAUCUGAAGCGGAAAAUAAACCUCCUGCUCUGAUCUGUAGCGUUAGCACUCUGCUGAAGCGGAACUCGGAUGAUUGUGAUGUUUUUGCAGAAUUGUGCAGAAUCUUCGCUUUCUCAGGGUGUUUAUGAGCGCGUGCAGGAGAGCAGCAGCAGCAGGAGAAGCAGCAGGAGAAGCUCUGAGAUGAUCUGAGAGGAUCUGAGAGGAGCUGAGAGGAGCUCCGAGGCCCACACUGCUGCUGCUGCUGCUGCUACAGAGGCCAUCUUGUUUAUGGCUAAAGCUAUCUGCUACAGCACCGACACAAACUUCAGCACUCUCAUUACCGCAUGCAACUUUUCCUCCUGAGGUUUUUGUUUUGUUUCUCGCUUUUACACGCGCACAUCUUUUCCUUCCUCCCCUUCCUCUGCUCAGGUGUGCAUUAAAAAAAAAACACAAACGGAUGCGUGAAAAGACAGAAACGGAAACGCAACAAUUUAUUGCAGUUAUUCUGAAUCUUAUGCAUGCAUGCACUCGGCCGCGCGCGCGACCCGACCGGAGGAGCACAAAAAAAAAAAAAAAAAAAAAAGAACAGAUGCAUGAAAACAAUGAAAGGAUGAAAGUUAUUUUUUUUAAAAAAAAUGCACGAGGGAGAAAGAGGUGAUGUGUGCACGCGCUUUUAUUUUACCUGCAGAUUCCCCGGUGCAUUGCUUUCUCUCUCUCUCUCUCUCUCUCUCUCUCGCGCGCGCGGGCUCGUCGCUCAGCCCCGGAGCCGCCACGUCCGCGAGCAGCCUCUCUCUCUCUCUCUCUCUCUCUCUCCUCGCGCCUGCCUCCUUCUUCUUCUUCUUCUUCUGCUCCUCCUUUCUCCCCCGUUUCCGCGGCUCGCGCUCGCUUCUCCCAGUCGAGUCGGUGGAACGGCAGUGCGCGCGCGCAGCAGCAGCCACAUCAGGAACAGCAGCAGAAACAGCGGCAGCGCGCGCGCGGCGUCAUGGUGGCCUACUUCCGACCAAAUGUGGGUUUUUGUGUGUGUGUGUGUGUGUGUGUGUGUCUGGUCGAGACAGAGCUUCAGAGCGCGUUUACUUUUACAAACCAAGUCACUGCAAACUGACACAUUCACCGCGAAGCGAUUUGUGCACGGUGUGAAACAGCGCGCGCGUUGCGUGUGCCGCUAUAAAUCACUAGUGCACUGGAUACAGGAUUCUGUGCAUCGCAUUAGACGCGUGUUUUAUAGCUGCUGUGUGCUGUGUGCUGUGUGCAUGCACAGGAGUGAUGUAUUAUUUAUCUGUUGAUGUGUGCGCUGUUUAAAUGACCUACAUGUGAAAUGAUGCAUGUGUCACUUUCCUUCUCUUCUCACAGAUUUUCUUUAAAAUGUUUCAGUGCAUCACUUGUAUUGAGUUCACGUGCACGAAUCACUAAUGCAUUGCAUAAAGUAGGUGUGUUUACCUACAAUAAUUUAUAUAUACACACAUACACACACAUACACACACACACACAGUGGGGUCCAAAAGUCUGAGUGAAGAAGCUUCUAUUUUGUGUCCUUUUCUAAUUUAAUACAACAAUUUUCAUUACACAUUAUAUUCCAGACAACAGCUUGAGUGAAAAGUACAAUCUCUGAAAUAUUUACACGAGUUUCAGAGUUUCUUAGACUUCAGUUCGUCUCCUUUUUUGCUUUAAUGAGAGUGUGACUCGAGCUGGCGUCUGAUCUCACGCUUCAGUAGGAGAGAUUAGACAUGAGGAAAAUCUGACCUUCUGUACAAAGCAGUUAACCUUCGCGAUAUCACACGUUUACUUACAUUUAAACAGGGACGUAAAAAUAGUGCAGAAUCCUGAAUAUUAUAUAUUUAAGAUCUAGAAACAGUGCAGAAGCUUCAGUAGUAAAUAUUCAACAUACUGAACAUUUAUUUUGUUGGUUUGAAAUAUUCCAAAUUUAUAAAAGCUUCUGUUUAUUUCAAGUUUUAAAUGAAAAUAAAAAAAGAAAGACAUAUUUUCAAUGUGGUCUCAGACGUUUGGACCCCACUGUGUGUGUGCGUGUGUGUGUGUGUGUGUGUGUGUGUGUGUGUGUGUGGCUCAGGCCUCCAUGUAGCUUGAAAUAGCUUAAAAUGUUCCAAACAUUGCCUGAAUGAUGCCUCUAAAAUAAUCCUGCUAUAAUUUCGUGUAUGAGGAACAGACUGAGCUACAGGAGGAAAAAUCUAAACCUGGUAACAGUAACGUUCACAGUGCAGGCUGCUGUUCAUGCACAACGUGUGUUUCAUGGCUUUUAUUCAUCGUCACUGUAGAAACCGAGCCAGUAGAUUUCCGGUACAGAAGGUACGACAGAACGGCGGCAGAGCUGUUAGCUUACAGCAGAGGUGUUUAAUCUUUCUGGAAAAGUGCAGGUUUUCACUCCAACCAAGCAGAAGCCACACCUGAGUCUAGUGAAAGCCAACAACACCUGAUUAAACAGGUGGAAUCAGGUGUGGCUCCUGCUCGACUGGGAAUGAAAACCUGCACACACACACACACACACACACACACACCAGCACUGUGAGGAUAAGAUUGGACAGCGUGGUUUACAGUAAUAGCAUAUUGUUCUGUAAUUUAAUAGAACUGCAUGCAGCACCAUGCUGCUGUUUAACUUCUUCAUCGUCAGAUUCGCAGUUCUGUGCACAAGCCCUAACGUUAAACACGAACUUAGGUGACUUAGAUGUUUAUUUUCUGACAUCUGCAUUACUGAGUCUGUAAAAUAUUUUACAUUUCCAAACAUUACUUUUCAAACAAAAAAUGAAAUGUUACAAAAAAGAAGGUAAUGUUACGUAAUACACCACUUUCUGCAAAAACAACCAGUUUCCUUAUAAACCUUAUAGACCACUGCUAUCUUUUUAAAAGCAAAGUGAUUUCACACUAAACGACUUCGUUUAGUUUAUUAGUUUACUGGUCUUUAGAGACUGUAUUUGUAUGCAGCAUUUCUUUGCACAGUAGUGAACGUCUCACAUAAACAAAACAAUCCUAACAGAAAUAUCUGCUAAAAUGGAUUUAUUAAAGCGAUCGUUUUAUUUCACUAGCUUUUCCGAGUGACUAGCGAACUUUGCUAGCUAAGAAUGUAUUUGAAUGUAUGGGCUAGCUACUAGCUAACUGUGUUAUCAUUAACUCAUAUUAGCUGUUGUCCAGUUUUCAAUGGUUAUAAUCUGUAUUUAAUAAUAAUUUAUAUUAAAGUAGUUACUUUUAUCAAAAGUUAGGAUAGAAAAUAACGAGCGCCUCAAAAGGAAAAGCCUCUAGGCAGCGUUCCCGGGAUAGAGUCCGGAUCCGGCGCAACCCUGAGCAGGACGCAGGACGCUUACUGAAGCUGAAUGAAGGAAAAACAUGAAAACUGGUAUUCUUACUACAGAUCUUUUCCUCCGUUAUUCCACACCGCACAGGAAGUUCAUCAACUCACACCUUCAGCUCCUAACUGGACAGAGAGAGAGACUCGCGAGCUGAUAGAUCUGGAGCAUUUUUGUAAGGAAAUGUGGAAUAAAAUGACCAAAUGAAGAAGAUCGGUCGACUCGUACCCAAAACCACUGAGUGCUGCUUUACAUUCAGAAAGUGCUUUAACAAUGUAUUAGUUAAGGGGUGUACAAACUUUUGCAGCCAUGUUAUUGUAAGUUGUUUUCUUUUUCUUCUUGUUCAUUUCCCUGAAACAUUUAUAUUCGUUUUUCACUUGUAUGUUGUUGGUUUCUGUAUCACAUUAAACCUGGAAACAGAUCGGACAUGAUUUAUCUUAAUUUAAUUAUUUUUACAUCACAAAACCCUGCAGUUUUAACAGGGGUGUGUAAACUUUUUACAUCCGCUGGAUAUAGAAACACACUGAGAAAAAAGGCAAUAAUCUGGACCUCUGUAUUACACAACGCUUCAGCUGUAGUACGGUUAUACUCAUCUCUUCCCUGAACGUGUGAAUAAAGGAUUGUCCCUUGAACUCUGUUUAACCUUUUUUAUUAUAAAUCUUAAAAAUUUCA
Long non-coding RNA from Pangasianodon hypophthalmus (striped catfish), 3971 nucleotides. RefSeq lists it as uncharacterized. The transcript has 3 exons. NCBI's taxonomy places the organism in Eukaryota, Metazoa, Chordata, Actinopteri, Siluriformes, Pangasiidae. The record is from RefSeq and is a predicted model, not a curated record.